CAUUUUAAAGCAAAGACAAAUAAAGUUUUCAAAUGAUUCAUUCAAACACAUGUGCAUUUAUCCCAAAACAUUUUUAAAUGCAAGUUCACUCACCCUAACGAUGCCAUCUAACAAAAUCUUAAUCCGAGUAGUCUCGAAAUACCAUUAAAACCUAUAAUUGCCAAUAAACAAUAAUAGCUUCAAAUAUAUCAUAAAUUCAAACUUAAUAAUUCUAAUAAGCAUACGCUUGAUAAACUAGAUUCUAGCCUAAUUUUUAACCUAGAAUUCUAGUUUAAUUCUCAAACCCAUCAUAUCAACUAUUCCAAUUUAAAGAUUUUUUACCUUGGUGAGCUUGGAGGCAUAGAGAUCAACAAAAACCUAAUAUUUCCAAGAAAAAGAAUUUGAAGAAGUUAGGAAAUAAAAUCUGAAAAUAUAACCCAUAAAUUCAUAAAUUCCAAGAGUUGAAAAUAUAUACCUUUUAGCCUUAAAAAUGGAGAUUUGAAGUUGAAAAUUCAAGUGUUGGUGAUGGUGGAGUAGAAAUAGAAAAUAAAGGAAAGAAAGAGAGAUUUUUCUUUCUCUCUCACAGGGUUUAGUUGUGCUGAAAAAUGGAGUUAGAAGCUACAGGUUUGGUGUCCAAGAAGUUAGGAGAAGAAAUGAAAAGAAAGGAAGGAAAAGAAAAUGGAAAAAGCUUGAUUUUUAUGGUGGAGGAUGAAAAUGGCGUUGGGAGGAGAAGAAGAAGGAAGAUAA
Molecule: long non-coding RNA, 726 nt
Filed under: Theobroma cacao (cacao)
Lineage: Eukaryota; Viridiplantae; Streptophyta; Magnoliopsida; Malvales; Malvaceae
Description: long non-coding RNA (TCAC_LNC005922)
Source: RNAcentral